UAGCAAGAUAUAAAUUUUAAUUAACUUUCUCGAAACCUAGGGAGUUACCUUAUUAUUGUUAUUAGCACAGGUGGUGUAAGUGUAGCAAAAUUUUAUUGAAAUUUUAAGGUAGCAGUGAAAUUCUUUUCGUACUAGGAGAUAGCUAGUUACAAUGGAAAUAUAUUUAAGUAUAGGUGAUCGUAUAAGCUAAAUUAUAAGUUAUUUUACAGCUUAUUGGUUUUCCUGUUUGUUUAAGGGCGAGCUUAUGCAAAUAUUUGUAAUAUAUUAUUAUAGGGUAAAAAAUAUAGGCUUGAAAUUAGCCAUAAUUUAAAACUUGUUUUAAGGUAUUUUGGAUAUAAUAUAUUUUGCUAUAAUUACGUUGUUGAGCAAAUAAACUAUAUUUAUGUUUUAUGUAUGCUAAGAUGAGUAUUUUUUGCAUAUUAUUUGGAUUAAAGUAAAUGUAUUUGGUAUUAGAUAUUGCAUAUAUUAAAAAUGUUAAAAAGGUACUCGGCAUUGUGCUUCGCCUGUUUAGCAAAAACAUGUCUCUUUG
RNAcentral lists this ribosomal RNA (529 nucleotides) under Ptychopoma wilsoni. Its description in RNAcentral is "Pterocyclos wilsoni partial 16S ribosomal RNA". Lineage: Eukaryota; Metazoa; Mollusca; Gastropoda; Architaenioglossa; Cyclophoridae. The record is from RNAcentral.